This 998-nucleotide long non-coding RNA is filed under the name Mus musculus (house mouse). Its description in RNAcentral is "long non-coding RNA chr16:39934001-39934999". The record is from RNAcentral. Lineage: Eukaryota; Metazoa; Chordata; Mammalia; Rodentia; Muridae.
AAUGGUGAAAGUCAGAAUGAAUGAAUUUUUCAGUAUUGGGUACUUGAUUUACAGUGCUGCCUUUUCAUCUGCAUCUGGCAAAGUGGAGAUUGUUGCCAUCAAUGAUCCCUUUAUUGACCUCAACUAUAUGGUCUACAUAUUUUAGUAUGACUCUAGUCAUGGCAAGCUCAAUGGCACAGUCAAGAUUGAGAAUGGAACAAUGGAACACUUAUCAUCAAUGGGAAACCCAUUACCAUCUUUCAGGAGCUAGAUCCUGCUAACAUCAAAUAGGGGGAUACUGGUGCUGAGUAUGUCCUGGAGUCUACUGGUGUCUUCACCACAGUGGAGAAGUCCAGUGUCCACUGGAAUGGUGGAGCCAAAAGUGUCAUCAUCUCUGCCCCUUCUGCUGAUUCCCAUCAUGUUUGUGAUGGGUGUGAAGCAGAAGAAAUAUAACAACUCACUCAAGAUUUUCAGCAAUGAACCCUGUAACACCAACUUCUAAGCCCUCCUGGCCAAGGUCAACCAUGGCAACUUUGCCAUCAUAGAAGUACUCAUUGCUAUGGUCAAUGCCAUCACUGCCUCUCAGAAGACUGUGGAUGGCCCCUUGUAAAGCUGUGGUGUGAUGGCCAUGGUGCUGCCCAGAACAUCAUCCCUGCAUCCACUAGUGCUGCCAAGUCUGUAAGCAAGGUGAUUCCAGAGCUGAAUUGGAAGCCAAUGAGCUUCCUACCCCCAGUGUAUCCGUCAUGGAUCUGACAUGUCACAUGGGGAAACCUGCCAAGUAUGUCAUCAUCAAGAAGGUGGUGAAGCAGGCAUUAGAUGGCCGACUAAAGGGCAUCCUGGGCUACACUGAGGAACAGGUUGUCUCCUGUGACUUCAAAAAUAACUUCCAUCUUUGAUGCUGGGGCUAGCAUUGUUCUCAAUGACAACUCUGUAAAGUCUAUUUUCUGGUGUGACAAUGAAUAUUGCUACAACUACAAUGUAGUGAACAUCACGGCUACAUGGCCUCCAUGACUAAGAAA